AUUGAACGCUGGCGGCAUGCUUUACACAUGCAAGUCGAACGGCAGCGCGGGCUUCGGCCUGGCGGCGAGUGGCGAACGGGUGAGUAAUGCAUCGGAACGUGCCCAGUAGUGGGGGAUAGCCCGGCGAAAGCCGGAUUAAUACCGCAUACGACCUGAGGGUGAAAGCGGGGGACCGAAAGGCCUCGCGCUAUUGGAGCGGCCGAUGUCGGAUUAGCUAGUUGGUGGGGUAAAGGCUUACCAAGGCGACGAUCCGUAGCUGGUCUGAGAGGACGACCAGCCACACUGGGACUGAGACACGGCCCAGACUCCUACGGGAGGCAGCAGUGGGGAAUUUUGACAAUGGGGGCAACCCUGAUCCAGCCAUGCCGCGUGCGGGAAGAAGGCCUUCGGGUUGUAAACCGCUUUUGUUCGGGAAGAAAUCCUCUGGGCUAAUACCCCGGGGGGAUGACGGUACCGGAAGAAUAAGCACCGGCUAACUACGUG
RNAcentral lists this ribosomal RNA (483 nucleotides) under uncultured bacterium. Its description in RNAcentral is "partial 16S ribosomal RNA". It matches the Rfam family "Bacterial small subunit ribosomal RNA", at positions 28 to 507 of the family's 1533-position model. The record is from RNAcentral.